Molecule: long non-coding RNA, 3722 nt
Organism: Mirounga angustirostris (Northern elephant seal)
Lineage: Eukaryota; Metazoa; Chordata; Mammalia; Carnivora; Phocidae
Exons: 3
Source: RefSeq, a predicted model, not a curated record
UCCCCCGCACCCAGGCCGGGGCCACCACCAGGCAGCCAGCAUCCGCUUCCUGCCCCCCAGCUUUGUUCUUCCCACAAUGUCAAGUGAAGGGACCCAGAAGCGCGUAGUCUUCUGGGCCCAGCCUCCUCUGCGUAGGGUAGUGACUGCGAGGUUCCACUUGUGGAAUCAGGAGCUCCUCGGCGUUUCUGGCCUAGCCACGUACGCUGUAUGGAGCCAUCCCAGUUUGCUGAUCCGAUCAUCUGCUGAAGGGCAUUUGGGCUUUGCCCAAAUUGUUUUUAGCAAUAACGACACAGCUGCGAUGGAUAUAAAUUUUCUCCCACAGCCAGACCUUAUGCACAUAUGGGCUACAUCCAACUGAAUCAUCUAUGUCCCUUCUGGAAAGCAGACGUCUGCAAACUCCUUCAAUACUUGCUCAGAGAGCCACGCUGCAACAGAAACGUCCUGCCUGUGAGUGUUUGCUACUUAACUUGCAAUAUGUUAUAUAAAAAAAGUAAUAAAUUACUAAGUUACUUUUAACUACUAGGGCAUCAUUCUAGAACAGGAUAUGCACAUAAAUAAACUUUUUUUUUUUUAAGGUUUUAUUUAUUUCUUUGACAGAGACAGAGCACAAGCAGGGGAAGGGCAGAGGCAGAGGGAGAAGCCGACUCCCCACUGAGCAGGGAGCCCGAUGUGGGGCUCGAUCCCGGGACCCUGAGAUCAUGACCUGAGCCGAAGGCAGACGCUUAACCGCCUGAGCCACCCAGGCGGCCCAAUAAACUCCUGUUCUUAUCUUAACUCCUAGGAAAUCCAUAAUAAGCAAUUCAUAGAGCUGCUAGGCACGCAUGUAUUGCCUGCCUUUUUGGUUGUCGUUUCUCUUCGAUUCUUUAUCACUGGGUUUUGAUUUCACUGAAACAGCUACUGCUACAUCAACAUAAUCUCAACAUUCUCAGGCUCUUCCCACAAUAACGCCACUUGCUUUGAUAACCUGUAUGGCUUUCUGCACACAGACCGGUGACUGCCCAGCGGCUGUAUUUAUGCUGAUGUCUGGUGUUAAUGACCAGACUGGCCUUUGAAGUUACAAUAAGGUAAGAGAUGCUGCAAGUACUCCAGAGACAGAGGUGUCUAACCGCGCCCCUACUAGCAGAAACUGCCGUACCCAAUCAAAAUUACCCAGUAAAUGCAAGAAAAGUGGAUUUACCAACUAUCUACAGGCACCAGGUACUGUGAUAGCAAGUGUCAUCAUACGUGGAAGAUACAAUAUUGGUAACAAUGUCAAAACCGUACGAGAAUAAUGGCUAACAGGCCCGUGCUAAAUAUUUCACGUGGAAGUUUAAACCAUCAACACAUAUUUAGUCUGCUAAAACCCCACAGGAUGACCUUCUUGUGACUUUAUGCAUCAAGCCCUGACGCUCUUAAUCUGCCUCUCCUGUGCCAGACUGGCCUGGCACAUGGCAUAUGACUGACUUCUCAUCUGGCUGCUGGCCCACAUUUGGGCUCCUCUGAGUCAGGGUCCAAGGGGGGGACCUCCCAUUCACUCUUGCCCUCUCUUCAUCCCUAGGGCCCAGCCUGCAAGUGGAUGGGCUCAGUCCCAGCUUCCUCCAAGGUCGUGUCCCCAUCUCCACGGUCUGCAGGAGGCAGAGGGACAGGUGCAGCUCUGCACUAGGCAGGCUUAGCCUCUGACCCUCAGCUCCGCAUUGUCUCCUGGGUAAGCAGCCUGAUGUCACCAACAGCCAACUGCUGAACAGCCGUUUGCCAAACAGCCAAUUCCUUGAAUGACCAAUUUACAAAAUAAACGAUAUGCUGACUUCACUUUUUUAAGCUGUCUAGUCUUAACUGAGCAGUUUUUAAUUCUGUCUUCAUAAUAGUCUUAGAAGAAAUGUAGUCUGCCCGUCUCGCCGUUGCUGUAGAGCUGAGCCCGAGGAGGAGACUGGGGACAGCAGAGGGGCAGAGGUUGAGGGGCUCCUGCAGAACUCUCAGUGGACUGACUUUGUGGACACUGAACUAGAGCCACUUGGAGAUGCCCACAGUGCUAUUCCCAAAGGGAAUGAAAAAGGCUGUGCUAUUCCUAACACAUGUCUUUAAAAGCCUUUCCUUCAGCACUGACAAGUUCACAAACAUUCCCAACUACACGCGCUGAGGAGGAGGCAAGCGGAGAGAGACUUGAAGAGGCUGACCUUGAAGACCGGAGACGCAGCCCCAAGUGAUACAUGUGACAGCUCUGACCAAGAACACACAGCAAGCUGUCCAGGUUUCCCGUGAUGAAGGUCCCUGCUGCGGACAGGUGAUGCCCUAAGACGGCGGAGUGGAGGGCUGGCUGAACCAACCAAGGCCACAGCCAGCAAGUCUGUGGUGUCAGCAACACAGCGCUGCGUGAAACACACCAACGUGUGCGGAUGCAUAGGAUUACCAGUGAUUUUACUCAUUUCAGAGUUUCCUACAAUUGUCAAGUUUUCUAUGAGAAAGCAUCUAUCACCCCAAAAAUGGGGGGGGUCAGUAAGAAUAAAAAGAUAAGUACAGAUGGCAUGAAACUUGCCCUCAAGAAGCUCCGAGUCUAGUCAUGGAAGCAGCCAUGUAAGUAAAUGAUUAAAAUGCCACGUGGUAACACUGUGAGACACCACAGCACUCCCCAGCUAUGGGCACGGCCAAAAUAAAACCCUCACGGUAUCUGAACUGGGUGAGGGUUGGGAGCAACCGGAACUCUCGGACGCCGCGGGCGGCAACCUGAAAUGGAGCCGCUGUUUGGGACGCUGCUCGGCAGUUCCGUCCAAGGCCAAGCAUACAACUACCCUCAUCCCAGCAACUACACCCCCGGGUACGUACCAAGGAAAAUACAAAGACAUGGCCACAAAGAGACUGACGUAAGACUGUUCAGAGCCGGGAGUAAGACGCGGAAAGGGGGAGCUGUUGCCUAAUGGGUAGGGUCUCAGGUUUACAAGAGAAAAAGUUCCAGGUGGUUCACAAUGCAAAUGUAGGUAACUGCUGCACUGUAUGCCUGCAAACGGUAAGACAGUAAAUCUCAGGCUAUGUGCUUUGUACCUCAAUAAAAAAGAAGAAGAAAAAAUUCAUAGACUUAUUCUUAAAAGCCCUAAGCUGGAAACAAACCAAACGUCCGUCACGAGGCGGGUGCAUCAACUGAUGUAUAUUCACACAGAGGGCAACGUUUGAGCCCAAAUGAAAGAAGCCACGCACAGAAGGAGGUGUUGCAGAAUCCCAUUUAUGUGAGAUUUUAGAGCAGCAGAACUAGUCUAUGGGGAUGACAGACUACUCAGAGCAGUGGUGGCCUCUGGGGACAGGGAUGACUAGGAAGGGGCGUGAGGGAACUUUCUGGGGUGAUGGAAGGGUUUUAUUUUCCUGAUUUGGAUGGUGACUGAAUGGGUAUAUAUUUGUCGUAUUUGUCCAUAUUCGCCGAAAUAUUUGCUGUCUAUUGUAUGUAAUUGUAUCGUAAUAAAAAAGAGUCUCAGGGAAACAGUGGGCUGAGGGAACUGGAAGGGGCUAAACUCAUCCUCUUGGCUACACGCCAAAGAGCUGCCAGUGGGACGAGACAGAUCAGCAGCCACAGAUAAACACUGUCCCUGCGGCGGUUCAUGGAUACGCCAAGAACAUAACAUUGUGAGAACUUUACAUACAUUUUAACCUCAGUUCCACAGCACAAGCUUUGAUAUUCUAAUAAAUUACUUUAAAAAGGAAAAAUAUACGAUAUAUACACUAAUGUAAUGUAAAAUAAAACAUAGGCCUUCAUCUAA